AUGUAUAUGACGGGGAUGUACAUCUUGGCCAAAGGUGUGCAUAGCUCCUUUGACAAGGAGCUGGCUAGGUUCUUCUGGCAGGCAGGGGGUCGGCCUAAGUACCAUAUGGUGAAAUGGGCUAACAUCUGCUUCCCGAAGGAUCGAGGUGGGUUGGGUAUCCCUGCGCCUCGCUGUAUGACCGUUGCGCUCAUGCUUCGUUGCGUUUGGCAGAUCUUGCGGGGAGAUGGGGGUUUGUGGCUGCAGCUGAUUGAGUCCAAGUACUUGCAGGGUCAACCCCUCUUGGCUUGCUCACACUCUGCUGGGUCCCAGUUCUGGAAGCCUGUCCAGGCCAUCAAGGAUGAGAUUAGGCUGGGUUACGGUUCUCGGUUGGUAAUGGGUCUGGGACCUAGUUUUGGUUGGACCCCUGGCUUGAUGGGGAGCCUCUCCACAUUCGAAUUCUCCGUUAGUUCGGCUUAUCAGGUGUUGUGCCAGCUGCUGGUUCUCAAGUGGUUAUCCCCAUUGUGGAAGGCGCCGAUGCCCCUGAAGAUCAAGAUUUUUGUGUGGCAGCUUCUCAGAGAUCGCUUACCUUCGGGGACCGAGGUGCUGAAACGCCAUCGUCCGGGCAAUGGCCUUUUCCCCCUUUGCCUCGUCCCAAAAACGGGAACGCACAUCUUGUUCUCGUGCGUAGCAGCGCAGGCACUUUGGUGCUUUGUUCGUGAGGCCCGGGACCAGAGUGGGAGGCCCAUGACCUUGCAGAGUUUCUGCAGCACUGGCAUCCGCUCGCUAGGCUGA
RNAcentral lists this ribosomal RNA (771 nucleotides) under Triticum aestivum (bread wheat). RNAcentral describes it as "partial small subunit ribosomal RNA". Lineage: Eukaryota; Viridiplantae; Streptophyta; Magnoliopsida; Poales; Poaceae. The record is from RNAcentral.